This 463-nucleotide ribosomal RNA is filed under the name uncultured bacterium. RNAcentral's name for it is "bacterial SSU rRNA". It matches the Rfam family "Bacterial small subunit ribosomal RNA", at positions 29 to 524 of the family's 1533-position model. The record is from RNAcentral.
AACGAACGCUGGCGGCAGGCCUAACACAUGCAAGUCGAACGCCGUAGCAAUACGGAGUGGCAGACGGGUGAGUAACGCGUGGGAACAUACCCCUCGGUUCGGAAUAACUCAGGGAAACUUGAGCUAAUACCGGAUACGUCCAAGGUUUUAAUCGACCUUGGAGAAAGAUUUAUCGCCGGAGGAUUGGCCCGCGUCUGAUUAGCUUGUUGGUGAGGUAAUGGCUCACCAAGGCGACGAUCAGUAGCUGGUCUGAGAGGAUGAUCAGCCACAUUGGGACUGAGACACGGCCCAAACUCCUACGGGAGGCAGCAGUGGGGAAUAUUGGACAAUGGGCGUAAGCCUGAUCCAGCCAUGCCGCGUGAGUGAUGAAGGCCUUAGGGUUGUAAAGCUCUUUACCCGGGAAGAUAAUGACGGUACCGGGAGAAUAAGCCCCGGCUAACUUCGUGCCAGCCGCCGCAGUAAU